Molecule: long non-coding RNA, 405 nt
Filed under: Rhinopithecus bieti (black snub-nosed monkey)
Lineage: Eukaryota; Metazoa; Chordata; Mammalia; Primates; Cercopithecidae
Description: lncRNA (ENSRBIG00000045838.1)
Source: RNAcentral
AUGAUCCCUUUUGUUCCUCCCAGCUGCGAAUGCCCUCUUCGGAACUCCUGUUCACAUAGUUGCCAUGUUGUGGAAUCCUGGCUCUGGUCCUUCUUUCAGAAAUUUUGGGAACUGCCUGUCAUGUAUCUGACAGAUCAGCCUCGUCUCAUCUCAUCUCUCACAACAACUCCACGGUACAUCCAUUCAAAAUUGAAGAAUCAGGUCCAGAGGGAUCUCCUGGACGGCCUAGGAUCACAGAGCAAAGCAGAAACCACAGCUGUCUCGGAGGACAGAGCUCCAGCUCUUCACCGAGAGACAGUCGUUGGAUGUCGUUGGAGUGGCUUCAGGGCCCACUAGGGCCUUUGUUACCAGUUUUCUCUUCCCCGUGGUCCUUUUGUUGCAUAAUCAAUAAACCACUAACAGAAA